RNAcentral lists this unclassified non-coding RNA (402 nucleotides) under soil metagenome. RNAcentral's name for it is "partial contains 5.8S ribosomal RNA, internal transcribed spacer 2, and large subunit ribosomal RNA". The stretch from base 1 to 121 matches the Rfam family "5.8S ribosomal RNA", at positions 35 to 154 of the family's 154-position model. The record is from RNAcentral.
GAUGAAGAACGUAGUGAAAUGCGAUAAGUAAUGUGAAUUGCAGAAUUCAGUGAAUCAUCGAAUCUUUGAACGCACCUUGCGCCCUUUGGCUAUUCUGAAGGGCAUGCCUGUUUGAGUAUCAUGAACACCUCAACUCUCAUGGUUCGCCAUGAUGAGCUUGGACUUUGGGGGUCUUGCUGGCCUACGGUCGGCUCCUCUCAAAUGAAUCAGCUUGCCAGUGUUUGGUAGAGUCGCAGGUGUGAUAACUAUCUACGCUUGUGGUUUUCUGCCAGAUAACCUUCAGUGAUGGAGGUUCGCUGGAGCUUAUAAAUGUCUCUCCCCAGUGAGGACAGCUUUUUGAACGUUUGAUCUCAAAUCAGGUAGGACUACCCGCUGAACUUAAGCAUAUCAAUAAGCGGAGGA